GUAAGCUACUAAGAGCGAACGGUGGAUGCCUUGGCUAGUAGAGGCGAUGAAAGACGUGCCAGACUGCGAUAAGUCUCGGGGAGCCGUCAAGGGGCUUUGAUCCGGGAAUUUCUGAAUGGGGCAACCCAAUACAUAGCGAUAUGUGUUACCAUUAAUGGAGCCAACGCGGGGAACUGAAACAUCUAAGUACCCGCAGGAAGAGAAAUCAAUAGAGAUUACGCUAGUAGCGGCGAGCGAACGCGUAAGAGGGCAAACCACUAGUUUACUAGUGGGGUUGUAGGACCGCAACAUAGACUAGGAUCUGAUAAUAGAACAAUCUGGAAAGGUUAGGCAUAGAGGGUGAUACUCCCGUAUAUGAAAUCACAUCCUUACUUAGCGGUAUCCUGAGUAGGACGGGACACGUGAAAUCCUGUCUGAAGCUGGGUCGACCACGAUCUAACCCUAAAUACUACUACUAGACCGAUAGCGUACAAGUACCGUGAGGGAAAGGUGAAAAGAACGGCGGUGAGCCGAGUGAAAUAGAACCUGAAACCGUUUGCUUACAAUCAUUCAGAGCACUAUGUGGGUCUGUUUGAAUAUUAAGGACGGCUUGUCUUUUGAGCGUCUUUAAAUGAGUUCGUAUUUUUCUCAAUCGACAGCCUAUAUGGCUAGUCUCAAUCGAAAAAUACUUCACAACAUUUAAAUCCGUCUCAAAAUACCGCGCCUUUGGGCGGGUAUAUCUUGUUUUUAUAAAUUCUAUGCGGAUGAAAUUUUAAAAGUAAAGAGAGGUAAAACUUCUAAAAUCAAAAUUUCAAACCAUAGAUCAAAUUUAAAUCAAACAAGAUAAGACAAUCCAAGAUUAGUAUUGAAACAGAUCCACAGUGUGAUGGACUGCCUUUUGCAUAAUGAGCCUGCGAGUUGUGGUGUCUGGCGAGGUUAAGGAAACCCGGAGCCGUAGCGAAAGCGAGUCUUAAUAGGGCGAUUAGUCAGAUGCUGCAGACCCGAAACGAUGUGAUCUAUCCAUGAGCAGGUUGAAGCCGGUGUAAGAGCCGGUGGAGGACCCAACCGACGGCCGUUGAAAAGGCUCCGGAUGACUUGUGGAUAGGGGUGAAAGGCCAAUCAAACAUCGUGAUAGCUGGUUCUCUCCGAAAUAUAUUGAGGUAUAGCGUCGUGUAGUAGCUAUAAGGGGUAGAGCACUGAAUGGGCUAGGGCAUACACCAAUGUACCAAACCCUAUCAAACUCCGAAUACUUAUAGCGUAACCACGGCAGUCAGGCGGCGAGUGAUAAAAUCCGUCGUCAAGAGGGAAACAACCCGGACUAACAGCUAAGGUCCCCAAAUCUCAUUUAAGUGGAAAACGAUGUGAAGUUACUGAAACAACCAGGAGGUUGGCUUAGAAGCAGCCAUCCUUUAAAGAUAGCGUAAUAGCUCACUGGUCUAGUGAUUUUGCGCGGAAAAUAUAACGGGGCUAAAAUGAGUACCGAAGCUUUAGACUUGCACUUAAUCAUUUAUACUAGCUCGUCUUUUGGCGAUAAAUUAAUGAGUUCGAUUUUUUUCUCAAUCGAUAGGCUAAAAGCCUUAUUUCAAAUCGAAAAAAUCUUCACAACAUUAAUUUCUCAUCCAAAAUACUUCGCUUUCUAUAUUCAAAUUUUAAAGAUUUCAAACUUUGUUGAUUUUAAAAUUUUUUAGAAUUUUAAAAUCCCAACUUAGAUAUUUAAAAUUUAACAACCAAGAGGCGAAGAAAGACAAGCACAACUUUAAGAUAUCAAAUAAAUUCUUAAAUAUCUUAAGUUUUAAAUUUGAAUAAAGCAAUAAGAAAAGUAUAAAUCAUUAAGUGCAAGUGGUAGGAGAGCGUUCCAAUCAGCGUCGAAGCCGUACCGGUAAGGAGCGGUGGAGCGGUUGGAAGUGAGCAUGCAGGCAUGAGUAGCGAUAAAAUACGUGAGAAUCGUAUUCGCCGUAAACCCAAGGUUUCCUACGCGAUGCUCGUCAUCGUAGGGUUAGUCGGGUCCUAAGCAAAGUCCGAAAGGGGUAUGCGAUGGAAAAUCGGUUAAUAUUCCGAUACCGAUAUCAGUGUGCGACGGAAGGACGCUUAAAGUUAGUGGAGCUAGCGGAUGGAAGUGCUAGUCUAAGGAAGUAGGUUGAGUUAUAGGCAAAUCCGUAACUCUUUAUCCGAGAUCUGAAAGGCUUCUGACGCUCUUCGGAGUAGAUGAAGAAUCCAUGAUACUAUCGAGCCGAGAAAAGUUUCUAAGUUUAGCUGAUAUCGCCCGUACCGUAAACCGACACAGGUGGGUGGGAUGAGUAUUCUAAGGCGCGUGGAAGAACUCUCUUUAAGGAACUCUGCAAAAUAGCACCGUAUCUUCGGUAUAAGGUGUGCCUAGCUUCGUUAAGAAUUUACUUCGUAAGCGAAGAAGGUUACAACAAAGAGUCCCUCCCGACUGUUUACCAUAAACACAGCACUCUGCUAACUCGUAAGAGGAUGUAUAGGGUGUGACGCCUGCCCGGUGCUCGAAGGUUAAUUGAUGAUGUUAGCUUAUGCAAAGCAUCUGAUCGAAGCCCGAGUAAACGGCGGCCGUAACUAUAACGGUCCUAAGGUAGCGAAAUUCCUUGUCGGGUAAGUUCCGACCUGCACGAAUGGCGUAACGA
This 2621-nucleotide ribosomal RNA is filed under the name human oral metagenome. RNAcentral's name for it is "bacterial LSU rRNA". It matches the Rfam family "Bacterial large subunit ribosomal RNA", at positions 1 to 2007 of the family's 2925-position model. The record is from RNAcentral.